UGUGAGAAAGUCACUAUGCCAAGCCUCAGCUGAAGGGCCUGGAUUCCACGUGGAAUGACCCACAUUGUGUCCGCUAUGGUCCAGUCAGACUCUGGCUAAUUUCCUGCCUCUCGAUGUCCUGGGAACCCGUGCUGUUUGCUCCCGUCUGGAGCCUCUGUGGCUGGGGCUGAGCCCUGGUUGCUCUGGCCAGGGUUUCCAUAGCCGCCUCCAGGCUCCAGACUCUGGGACCAGGCUGCUGCAGACUGUGAAUGAGGCCUCUCCUCUGCCCUCUGUGCCCCCCAUCUGAGCUCCUCUGUCCUGCUCUUUCGUGUGUCUCCUGUGGAGGGUCAAAUUAUUUGCCCACUGACAGUGACCUAAAUUUGGCAGCAGCGUUGCUAACAACUGGGAGCUAGGUCGCCACACUUGAUGGGGACAAUUCCAAGGGUGUUCGACAGCCCGAGGAUAUAAGGAUAAAAAUUACAGCAGCCUCCAGCAGUGACUGUAAGAGGAGUCUUGGCAGAGGAGGAAUUGCAAGAUAAGAAGAAAAUCAAGGAGCUCUUGCUAUGAAAACCUGACUCAACUCAGCGGAAGCCCUCAAAAGUCCCUUCAAAUGAGGUCGCAGGCUCCCUGGAGAAAGGACUACUUCUGUGACUGCAUCUUAGGAAGACACUCUCAGUCCUAACAGUUCUCAAGUGGCGUUUUAGCAACAAUUUCAAAAAUUCAUUUUCACUUCAGUAAAAUGAAAGUCAUAGGCACGAGUGCCCGUGAAGAGCAGAUCAGCUUCCUAGCCAAGACCGGUGACCAGUGUCCUGAGUGGGUACCCCAAAUGCCUCAAGAUGCGUGUGGACUUCUUUUCAGUGCAGGAAGUACGAAGGCUAGUCCGCCCUGAGCUGAGAGGUCCCAAAGUGUCUAGGGGAAUGCUGCAUCUUGCCCCCUUGCUGCUAACCAUGGGACCAUCCUACAGAUGGCUACCUCAAUCCAGGAAACCAUCUUCUACAAGCUUGAGAGGCUGUCUUCCCACAUAGAAGCCUUAAGACCGGUGGAGGCUGGAGAUACCUCGGGCUCAACAAAGAAUUCCAGGAUCUUCAUUUCCAGUCACGGGAGACCAGGUUGAUGCAGAGGAACCCCCUCAGAGUUUAUGGACAUCAGUCUACAAGGGUCUUGAGUUUCUCCACUAGAAGCUGCUUCCUGGAUAUUUAACUGUGUGUCUGAGUGUGUCAAUGGGUGCACAUGCUCAUGUUCAACAUGUGUGUAGAUUGCUUAUGUGUUAUCUGUUUUUAAAGUACAUCAAGACAACAAUAUUAAUCAAGAUAGAAAACAGAAUUGGCAGCCAACCCUCAUCUCACUGACACAGCGUAUUCUUGUGUUCAGUCAAUGGCGUACACGUGCACCAGGGUGGUCCCUAAAGACAGCAUUGCCCAGUGACACUGCAGCGUCAACACAUAGUGCCAAUGGCAUUGCCCAAUGGGGGUGCAGUGCUCCGAAAUACUUUCAGGCUCUAUGAUCAACUAUAAUCAACCAUGAUCAGCUUUGGAAUAAAUA
Mesocricetus auratus (golden hamster) is the source of this 1521-nucleotide long non-coding RNA. RefSeq lists it as uncharacterized. The record is from RefSeq and is a predicted model, not a curated record. Lineage: Eukaryota; Metazoa; Chordata; Mammalia; Rodentia; Cricetidae. The transcript has 3 exons.